This 378-nucleotide ribosomal RNA is filed under the name Triticum aestivum (bread wheat). Its description in RNAcentral is "partial small subunit ribosomal RNA". The record is from RNAcentral. Lineage: Eukaryota; Viridiplantae; Streptophyta; Magnoliopsida; Poales; Poaceae.
AUGGUGCAAUUGUCACAUGGGUCUGAUGUAUUUCGAUGGAACCUACAUGGGAAUGGACAAUUCUCAGUGGAGUCUAUGUAUAGAGCAUUAAUCUUGUCUGAGAUGCCAGUUGAUAAUAACAAGAAGAUCUGAAAGAUGAAGAUACCUAUUAAGAAUAAAAUAUUUGCAUGGUAUCUUCGUCGCGGAGUCAUUCUUACUAAAGAUAAUCUUAUCAAGAGGAAUUGGCAUGGAAAUUCGCAAUGUGUUUUUUGUUAUCAUGAUGAGACAAUAAAACAUUUAUUCUUUCAAUGCAAAUUGGCUCGGUCUAUAUGGUCAGUCAUCCAGAUAGCUUCUGGCUUGUAUCCUCCUUGUAGUGUUGCUAAUGUAUUUCGCAAGUGA